Molecule: ribosomal RNA, 274 nt
Filed under: uncultured bacterium
Lineage: Bacteria
Description: partial 16S ribosomal RNA
Rfam family: Bacterial small subunit ribosomal RNA
Source: RNAcentral
AUACAGAGGUUGCGAGCGUUAAUCGGAAUUACUGGGCGUAAAGCGCGCGUAGGCGGCUUAUUAAGUCAGAUGUGAAAUCCCCGGGCUCAACCUGGGAACUGCAUCUGAUACUGGUAAGCUAGAGUUUUGGAGAGGGAAGUAGAAUUUCAGGUGUAGCGGUGAAAUGCAUAGAGAUCUGAAGGAAUACCAGUGGCGAAGGCGACUUCCUGGCCAAAAACUGACGCUGAGGUGCGAAAGCGUGGGUAGCAAACGGGAUUAGAAACCCUAGUAGUCC